Non-coding RNA from Delphinapterus leucas (beluga whale), 806 nucleotides. NCBI's taxonomy places the organism in Eukaryota, Metazoa, Chordata, Mammalia, Artiodactyla, Monodontidae. The record is from RefSeq and is a predicted model, not a curated record.
UGCCUUCCUGUCUUACCAAUGCUUAGGACAACGUGAAGCACGAACUCUGCAGCCAAAUGAAAUAGGAGUUGCAGUCAGGUCAAAGUCACAUGAUUCCAUGCGUAGCUUGUGGCGUGGGCUAAGAUGAAAUGCAUCGCAUCCAACCCUCGAAGCUUCAGAAUAUCCACUGCAGGACUUCCUGGAGGAAAAGGCCCCUGAGGUAUCUCCUUGUUGGAUUCAGGCAUCUGAACAAUACACGCCUAUGAGGCUGACCCAGGAAGCCACAACUUCUAGGAGACAGGAAGCUGUCAUGUUCUACAGAAAGCAGACCCCAAAAGACUCCUGAAAGAAGAUUCAUCUGCAUGUGAUUUAUCAAAGAGAUGCUCUCAGGAGAGACAGGUAAGGCAGGAGAAGCAGGACAGAGAAGGGGAAGAGCCGAGCAAAGGUGGGGUCUCGGGCAAAGCUCCUGCGAGGCUGUGGGGGAACUCUGGAGGGGAAGUUACAGCUCAGAGUCGUUGGAGCUUGUGGCAAGGGAGCUGGGCUCUUGUCCCCUUCUUCAGUCUUUAGCUAAAGCCUGUGUGUAUGUGGGCAUGUCCGUCUGUGCAUGCACGUGUGUGUAUACGUCUCUGCCAGCCUGUGGGCGAAGCAGGUCUAGAAGCCCAGGGACGGUCCUUGGAAGAUGAACCAGGGGUGCGUGCCACUGAGAGAGCCAUCAAAGCUGGAGUGUUGGGGGCACCCUAAAAGAAUUCUGGGGGUCUAGACAGAACCCCUACAUCCUUUACCACAUACACCUUUCCUCCCAUUUUAUUAACAUUUGAUAACGGAAA